GACGAACGCUGGCGGCGUGCUUAACACAUGCAAGUCGAGCGAUGAAGCUUCUUCGGAAGUGGAUUAGCGGCGGACGGGUGAGUAACACGUGGGUAACCUGCCUCAUAGAGGGGAGCAGCCUUCCGAAAGGAAGAUUAAUACCGCAUAAGAUUGUAGCUUCGCAUGAAGCAGCAAUUAAAGGAGCAAUCCGCUAUGAGAUGGACCCGCGUCGCAUUAGCUAGUUGGUGAGGUAACGGCUCACCAAGGCGACGAUGCGUAGCCGACCUGAGAGGGUGAUCGGCCACAUUGGGACUGAGACACGGCCCAGACUCCUACGGGAGGCAGCAGUGGGGAAUAUUGCACAAUGGGGGAAACCCUGAUGCAGCAACGCCGCGUGAGUGAUGACGGUCUUCGGAUUGUAAAGCUCUGUCUUUAGGGACGAUAAUGACGGUACCUAAGGAGGAAGCCACGGCUAACUACGUGCCAGCCGCCGCGGUAA
RNAcentral lists this ribosomal RNA (478 nucleotides) under uncultured bacterium. RNAcentral describes it as "partial 16S ribosomal RNA". It matches the Rfam family "Bacterial small subunit ribosomal RNA", at positions 28 to 523 of the family's 1533-position model. The record is from RNAcentral.